CCAUUAAAUGUGCAGCGGUACCACAGGAAAAACACACAAAUUCAGAGGAUAACACGUUACUAAUUCAAAAGAUUUAUCUAGCAUUAUGUAUCUAAUAGGAGUAUACAAUAUCAACAAAAACAACGGGAUAAACAAGAAAAAUACGGGGACAGCUAGACAAAACGAAUAAUCAAGAUUACACUCAAAAAAUAAAACGAUAAAGCUAGAGGCUCCAACCAACGAUGCAGCACUCCAGUAUAGCUGCAUCCAAAAUUCCCUCAAAACAAAUCUGCAUCCAAAACCUCUCAUAGUCAUACAAGGAUCUCACCAACCUCAACUUGCACAACAAAGGACAAACAGUAGUGGCGCCUGAAACUCUAGUUCCCCAUGACGUUUUUUUUUUUAAAGCACUUGUCCACGAAAGUUGGCGCGCUAUGUACGGACUACCUUAAGUUUUCUGAAAUAAUAUCUCUACUAUAAAAUAUCUCGAGGAUUCAUGCUCUUUUUUAGGGUGAUAUCUCGAGAAUUCUGGUGCAUGGUGGUGUCAAUCAUCUCUAGCAUUGGUUCUCCAUUUUUAAAUGAGCAAAUUUUCGUUGUUGUGCCGUUGUUGCCAGUUGGAACAUUAUUUUUUUUGCCAGUAGAAAGCGAUAUGGUGGGUAAGGAACCAUCCGGUUUGUCUCUCUUUCAAUGUGCGCGUGUGGUUCGCGUACCGUGCCGACUGCUGAUGGUCAAGCUUCAGCUGUCCAUCUCAAAAUGCCAUUUUUUCUAAAGAAAUAUUCGAUAUAGAUUUAUUUAGCAAUAAUUAUUACUAUUGUCUAAUGGGAUAUAUAACCUGCCCGUUUCUAUAUUUUGUUUCCAGAAUUUCCUCCAAAUAAAUUACCGCAAAUCUUUGGUAGUACGACAUGUUUUGGGAAGCUUCUAGCUAGUGCAUA
This 911-nucleotide long non-coding RNA is filed under the name Brachypodium distachyon (stiff brome). RNAcentral's name for it is "long non-coding RNA (BDIS_LNC000323)". Lineage: Eukaryota; Viridiplantae; Streptophyta; Magnoliopsida; Poales; Poaceae. The record is from RNAcentral.